ACGCUUGACAUGUACGGAAUCCUGAAGAGAUUUGGGAGUGCUCGAAAGAGAGCCGUAACACAGGUGCUGCAUGGCUGUCGUCAGCUCGUGUCGUGAGAUGUUGGGUUAAGUCCCGCAACGAGCGCAACCCUUGUCAUUAGUUGCUACGAAAGGGCACUCUAAUGAGACUGCCGGUGACAAACCGGAGGAAGGUGGGGAUGACGUCAAGUCCUCAUGGCCCUUAUGCGUAGGGCUUCACACGUCAUACAAUGGUACAUACAGAGGGUUGCCAACCCGCGAGGGGGAGCUAAUCUCAGAAAGUGUAUCGUAGUCCGGAUUGGAGUCUGCAACUCGACUUCAUGAAGUUGGAAUCGCUAGUAAUCGCGGAUCAGCAUGUCGCGGUGAAUACGUUCCCGGGUCUUGUACACACCGCCCGUCACACCAUGGGAGCGGGUUUUACCAGAAGUAGGUAGCCUAACCGCAAGGAGGGCGCUUACCACGGUAGGAUUCGUGACUGGGGUGAAGUCGUAACAAGGUAAGCGUAGUGCU
This 528-nucleotide ribosomal RNA is filed under the name uncultured bacterium. RNAcentral's name for it is "bacterial SSU rRNA". It matches the Rfam family "Bacterial small subunit ribosomal RNA", at positions 977 to 1509 of the family's 1533-position model. The record is from RNAcentral.